This 626-nucleotide long non-coding RNA is filed under the name Gallus gallus (chicken). RNAcentral's name for it is "long non-coding RNA NONGGAT012007". The record is from RNAcentral. Lineage: Eukaryota; Metazoa; Chordata; Aves; Galliformes; Phasianidae.
GAACCUCCAAUGGCUUCAUAAACUUGAAAGACCUGAUCUCUCCUCACAGAAGUCAUCAGGCAAGCACUCCCCGGAUGUGAUGUCUCUUGAAACACUGGAGAACACUUGUGAGCCAGAGGACCUCUUUGAUGACAUCUAGCUGUGUGUUGGCUGAGAAACUGUGAGGCUGGUGCUCCACGUCAUGUUGAGCUAUAAAACUUAAAAGCUUUGUUAUAGACACUCAGCUGAAAUCUUUACAGUAUGUGAUGAUGUAUUGCUCUAAUCCUCUUGCACUGGCCAUGUCCCCAUUCUUCACUAUACGGAUGCAGAUCUCUUGGUUUCCUAAGGCUUUGUUUGUGCCAGCCUUGAAAUCAGUUCAGCCUCUGUGUGCAGAUCUUUUAUCACACAUAUAUGGGGAAAGAGAGCACGCUCACAACAUUCUUACAUCAUAACAGUCUUUGACUGCUGAUUGUAUCCAGGAUCAGCUGUUUUUCAGAUGUCCCCAGAGAGUCAUUCAGACAAAAGGAAGACUUAAGGAUAUCACUGUAUUUACCUUACAUAUAGUAACCCUUUCUUGGGGAGCUCAGCUUAGACAUGGUCUAGCUAAUUCAUCCUUGACUUUAAAUGAGGUAUAUGUUUGAAGAUUC